This 72-nucleotide transfer RNA is filed under the name Phrynosoma platyrhinos (Desert horned lizard). RNAcentral describes it as "tRNA-OTHER". The record is from RNAcentral. Lineage: Eukaryota; Metazoa; Chordata; Lepidosauria; Squamata; Phrynosomatidae.
AUCAGUGUGGUGUAGUGGUUUGAGCAUUGGACUAUGGCUCUGGAGACCAGGGUUCGAAUCCCCCCUUGGCCA